RNAcentral lists this unclassified non-coding RNA (329 nucleotides) under soil metagenome. Its description in RNAcentral is "partial contains 5.8S ribosomal RNA, internal transcribed spacer 2, and large subunit ribosomal RNA". The stretch from base 1 to 120 matches the Rfam family "5.8S ribosomal RNA", at positions 35 to 154 of the family's 154-position model. The record is from RNAcentral.
GAUGAAGAACGCAGCGAAAUGCGAUAAGUAAUGUGAAUUGCAGAAUUCAGUGAAUCAUCGAAUCUUUGAACGCAUAUUGCGCCCCCUGGUAUUCCGGGGGGCAUGCCUGUUCGAGCGUCAUUACAACCCUCAAGCUCUGCUUGGUAUUGGGCCCCGCCAGUUCUGGCGGGCCCUAAAGUCAGUGGCGGUGCCUUCCGGCUCCGAGCGUAGUAAUUCUUCUCGCUCUGGAGACCCGGUUGUGUGCUUGCCAACAACCCCCAAUUUUUUAAGGUUGACCUCGGAUCAGGUAGGGAUACCCGCUGAACUUAAGCAUAUCAAUAAGCGGAGGA